GCUUAUGGCCAUACCACCCUGUCUGUGCCAGAUCUCGUCUGAUUUUGGAAGCUAAGCAGGGUUGUGCUUGGUUAGUACUUGGAUGGGAGACCGCCUGGGAAUACCAGGUGCUGUAAGCU
This is a ribosomal RNA of Sinocyclocheilus anshuiensis, 119 nucleotides long. Lineage: Eukaryota; Metazoa; Chordata; Actinopteri; Cypriniformes; Cyprinidae. The record is from Ensembl.